RNAcentral lists this ribosomal RNA (438 nucleotides) under uncultured bacterium. Its description in RNAcentral is "bacterial SSU rRNA". It matches the Rfam family "Bacterial small subunit ribosomal RNA", at positions 29 to 481 of the family's 1533-position model. The record is from RNAcentral.
AAUGAACGUUAGCGGCGUGCCUGAUGCAUGCAAGUCGAACGAUCUGAUGAUUCGUAAGGACUGUCAGAUAGUGGCGAACGGCUGAGUAACGCGUAAGUGACCUACCUUCAAGUGGGGAAUAACCUGCCGAAAGGCAAGCUAAUACCGCAUGUGUUGAUAAGCGUAUAGCUUAUCAGUAAAGCCUUCGGGCGCUUGAUGAGGGGCUUGCGUCUGAUUAGUUUGUUGGUGGGGUAAUGGCCUACCAAGACGUUGAUCAGUAGCUGGUCUGAGAGGAUAACCAGCCAGACGGGGACUGAGACACGGCCCUGACUCCUACGGGAGGCAGCAGCAAGGAAUUUUGCGCAAUGGGCGAAAGCCUGACGCAGCGACGCCGCGUGGGGGAUGAAGGCCUUCGGGUCGUAAACCCCUUUUCUCGGGGAAGAAUAAUGACGGUACUCG